Molecule: unclassified non-coding RNA, 245 nt
Filed under: plant metagenome
Description: partial contains small subunit ribosomal RNA, internal transcribed spacer 1, and 5.8S ribosomal RNA
Source: RNAcentral
UCUCCGUUGGUGAACCAGCGGAGGGAUCAUUACCGAGUUUACAACUCCCAAACCCAAUGUGAACCAUACCAAACUGUUGCCUCGGCGGGGUCACGCCCCGGGUGCGUCGCAGCCCCGGAAUCAGGCGCCCGCCGGAGGAACCAACCAAACUCUUUCUGUAGUCCCCUCGCGGACGUUAUUUCUUACAGCUCUGAGCAAAAAUUCAAAAUGAAUCAAAACUUUCAACAACGGAUCUCUUGGUUCUG